RNAcentral lists this unclassified non-coding RNA (1126 nucleotides) under Hevea brasiliensis (rubber tree). Lineage: Eukaryota; Viridiplantae; Streptophyta; Magnoliopsida; Malpighiales; Euphorbiaceae. The record is from RNAcentral.
GCAGCAGCAGCAGCAGCAACAGCACUUAUUUGGAGAUCUUCAGUUUCAAAAACCCCAUUGCUAGUGUUGAUAUAAUUGAGGAUCUCAUUUAGGGAUUCAAGUCUUUGGCUAAGUUCCAUCAUCUGUGCCCUUAAAAUGGAGUUCUCAGCCUCAACAUUCAAGUAAUGUUGAGUGGUGAUAUUGAUGCUUGUAAGGAGUUGGUUAUUGUCUUUCUUUAGCUCUGUCACUUGGGACAUCAACUUAUCCAGGUGCUGCUGUUUUUUCUGCCUGGAUCUCCUUGCAGAUUCUCUGUUGGAUUGCAUUCUCUUCCUUUUUCUUUGAUCCAUCAAGAGCUGGAUGUCCUCUUCAGAGCCAGAGUUGUGAAGCAGAGAGGAUCCUGAUGAAUUUCCACUGGAGGAUGGCAUAUAGAGAUAUAUACUAUAUAUAAUUAUAUAUUUACACCAAAAUUACGGCUAAUAAUCUCUAUAAAACUGAGAUCUUGAUCUUACCUUAAUGACUUGAAAUUUGACGCAGGACCCAGGAGCUAAUAUAAAUUUGAUGGGUAAUCAAUAUAGCUAUAUAUAUGCAACUAAUAUACUAUAUUAGAUACAGGCAGAGAGAACAAGUUAUUAUUGAAAACACAUAGAACCAAUAAAGGAAAACAACAGAGAAAGAUUGAACAAGAUGGGUCCUGCGCCUGAGAGACGAAUUGAUCAUAAACCCGGAACGGAGGAUUUCACUGAGAACUGGAGACAUGAAUCUCAAACAUUAAGAUAAAAAUAUGCAGCAUCAAGAUUUAGAGAGACAGAAAAGGUUUUGUAUUUGGCAAGGCAGCAGCCAGAGAUCUCUCGGCUGUCAAAUGGAAGAAGGAUUUCAAGCCUUUGACUUUAUGGGUAUUAUCCCAAAGAUUCACAGCAAAAAAUCCAGAAAGCAGCCAAACCCACAAAAGAAGGGCACCGAUAAAAACAGUUUCUGAGGUGAAACCAACAGAACCGCAGCUCUCAGGGAAAGAGCUAGAAAAACCAGGAAAUUUUUGGGGAAGAGAAUAGAAAAGAAGUGAAGAGGUAAAUGAGGGAAUUGGUGAGGGAAUUUAUAGUUCAAAUGGGAAGAGAAGAGUGAAGAGAAUGAGAGAAAACAAAAUUAAAAA